UCUCUCUAAUUUUCCCAAACUUAAGAAAAUCCAGAAUAGAUUUGACUUUCGAUAUCAAGGGUCACGCUCGUAAAGUCCGAAAAUAUAUAUACCAUGUUAAAAGGGGAGGAUAGAGUAAGUUAAAUUUUUAGGCAUUGUCAGAGCUGUACUACGUUAAUCCGCAAAUGGGCGGAGGAGCGGUGGAGACCACAGAGGAUGAACUAGAAGAUGAGGAAGAGGUUGAAGAGGGGAAGGUAGAGGACGAAGUAAAAGAGGGCGAGGCCAUGGGCGAGGCGCACGUGAGCGACGAGGAAAGAGAAAAAAAGGUCACGGAGUCCGAACAGGAACCUUCGAGAAAAUACGAAGUGAUUGGUACGCUUCUGGAGUAUAAGUAUCCUUACCCCGAAGAAGUAACGAGAAUCAUCAGAGAUACAGACGAUCGUAAGGAUCUAUUGUCAGAGUUAAUGAAAUGCGGAGUUAUUAUUUACGACAUUACACAAGAUCGAAGUCAGGUUGGGGAAGCUUCUUGGGUAUUACAAGCCAUCCAGGAAAUAUUAGAAAGUUUUGAUGACGAUACGGCGACAAAAAUUUUUAACAAGGAGAAUAAAAAAAGUAAAAGAAAUAAAACGAAGGAAAAAGCAAAGAUACCUCGAUAUUUUAUCCUGAUUUCAACGAUAAUGACAUGGGCCUUUACGAAGCCAUUGGAUCCGGAAGAUCCGGAUUUGCCGUUCACAGAAGUGGAUUACAGAAAGCGACGAGCUCAUCCGAAUUUUAAGGAACACCUACGAUGCGAGAGAGACGUUGUUAUCGUUAAGAAAAAUGUCAAGUUGAAAAGAAAGUUAAAGACUCUGGUAAUUUGUUGUGGAGUUACUUAUGGAGAAGAGCAAAAUGGGCUUCAUUAUCUCUUUAAAAUGGCUUGGCUGAACGAGCCCUUUCUGCCAAUUAUCGGCGAUGGUAAAAACAGGAUCCCUCUUCUUCAUAUUCGCGACUUAAUUUCAAAAUCAGCAAGGAAUUAACGACUGGAGAGGUAAAGCAUAUCGGUCUGGAAGAAUCCUUCCUACAUCCGGAAAUCAAUCAACGAAUUUAUGAUUUAAUGACGGUUGAUUUAAAUAUCGAUCCCGUUUACGUUCUCGAGAGGAUACGCUGGCAUUUCGACACGCCAUUUAUAGACAAUAUCAGAGCUAUCAUAAAAGAAUAUAAAGCGUGGAGAGAACUUCAACCGAUAAGAAUAAUUGUCCUUGGGCCGCCAGCCUCCGGGAAAACACGAGUGGCUCGCUAUCUUGUCGAGCAUUAUCGUUUGCACUAUAUUAACGUGGAGAAUUUGAUCAAUAAUACCAUUAAAAAAUUGUCCGAAGAAAUCAAAAAGAAAACAGCUACGAUAGAAAAGGAGGAUGAAAAAAGAGAAACGGAAAAACCGAGUGGAUUGGAUGUUGAGGAGGAGGAUGAUAAUGAAGAAGAGCGUAUCACGUUGGAAGAAUUACAGCAACAGCUGGACGAAAUACGAAAUAAUUUAUAUCAAAAUGAUGGAGUUCUUAAUGAUGUUAUCCUGAACAAGUCAGCUAUUAUUUGCUUCGUUACUCGUUUCAUUUCCGAUUCCGUACGUUGCUUCCUUAAAUUACUAUAGAAUUAUUGAAAUACAUGGUAUUGAUUAUCGCGAAGUAAAGCACGUGAAAAGGAAGAACAGCGGUAAAAACCUAACUUUACGACGAGAAAUAGAGAUUUCUCUCUCUCUCUCUCUCUCUCUUUCUCUCUCUUUCUCUCUCUACUUCGAUUUCUUUAAAGUUCUUGUAAAAAAUUAAGCAAAAACGGAAUUAAAGGUUGUUUCUGAAGAGACUUUGGUCGAAGGAUUGCUUGAAUCAAGGAUACGUUAUAGAUGGAUAUCCAAAGACGUACGAACAGGCUAAAAUACUAUUUGAACAUGCGGAAGAAAUGGUAGAGGAAAUGGAAGAAAAGGAUGAUGA
This is an RNA transcript of Vespa velutina, 1940 nucleotides long. It is a transcript of the gene named adenylate kinase 7-like, with no coding region annotated. The transcript is spliced from 5 exons. The record is from RefSeq and is a predicted model, not a curated record. Lineage: Eukaryota; Metazoa; Arthropoda; Insecta; Hymenoptera; Vespidae.